This is a long non-coding RNA of Mustela erminea (ermine), 414 nucleotides long. RefSeq lists it as uncharacterized. The transcript has 3 exons. The record is from RefSeq and is a predicted model, not a curated record. NCBI's taxonomy places the organism in Eukaryota, Metazoa, Chordata, Mammalia, Carnivora, Mustelidae.
AUGGAACUUAUAUUCUAGUGAUGGUGAGAACACAGAGACCGUCACUAAAUGACAUUUCUGCAAGACAUGAACAUCACCCUCUUGGACUUUAAACCAGACUUUGGAUCACUAAGGAGAGUCUAGGGACACAAUGGGCUCAUCCUUGAGUGUACUGGAAGAGAAAAUGUAACAGAGGCGUCAAGAGUUAAAAGAAGAAAUUCGGGAGAGAAAAAUUGAGAGGGACUCAGAAUUGUUCUUCCUCAUGUGGCACACGGUAUGCAGGAUAAAGCUCUUCUCUUAAGACAAGACUGAAUAGAAGCAAAGCAAGCCACCUAACACAGCAACAGCAAAAAAGAUUUCUUUUUAUGGUUUCCAGGAAAACAAAGUCAGAACUUCUGAAAGAAUACUGGAGUCUUGUUAUUUUCCAUCUGUUGU